CCUACGGGUGGCAGCAGUGAGGAAUAUUGGUCAAUGGCCGGAAGGCUGAACCAGCCAUGCCGCGUGAAGGUCAGUGCCCUAUGGGCGUUAAACUUCUUUUGUGCGGGAGCAAUAAUGGUCACGUGUGGCCAGACGAGAGUACCGUACGAAUAAGCAUCGGCUAACUCCGUGCCAGCGGCGGCGGUAAUACGGGGGGUGAAAGCGUUAUCCGGAUUAAUUGGGUUUAAAGGGUGCGUAGGCUGUGAGGUAAGUCAGCGGUGAAAUGCACCCGCUCAACGGGGUGAAGUGCCAUUGAUACUGCCUUGCUGGAAUGCGGAUGCCGUGGGAGGAAUGUGUGGUGUAGCGGUGAAAUGCAUAGAUAUCACACAGAACACCGAUUGCGAAGGCAUCUCACGAAUCCGCGAUUGACGCUGAUGCACGAAAGCGUGGGUAUCAAACAGGAUUAGAUACCCCAGUAGUC
This 460-nucleotide ribosomal RNA is filed under the name uncultured bacterium. RNAcentral describes it as "partial 16S ribosomal RNA". It matches the Rfam family "Bacterial small subunit ribosomal RNA", at positions 338 to 795 of the family's 1533-position model. The record is from RNAcentral.